RNAcentral lists this long non-coding RNA (515 nucleotides) under Phoenix dactylifera (date palm). RNAcentral's name for it is "long non-coding RNA (PDAC_LNC016439)". Lineage: Eukaryota; Viridiplantae; Streptophyta; Magnoliopsida; Arecales; Arecaceae. The record is from RNAcentral.
CUGGGAGAGGAAGAGAAUAGUGUGGUUGUCAGUGUAAUAAAUGCCUCUUCUUUAUAUCUAAUAGGACGAGCAUGAGCGGUCGAUGAGGUCCUGAAGCUUUUCUGGAGGUCGACGUCACCUCCAAUGGCGAUGAGGAGCCCGUCAGGGGACACAUGGCUGGAGGAGAGAUACUCGACGGCCAGGGGACCGAGGACCGCCAUGGCCCAGUCUUCGUCUGACCAAACCGACGAACCCACUCCCACUCCCACUCCCGUCCCCAUCUUCGUCUUCAUCGAUCUCCGUAAUCCCCAACUCCACAGUAAAUCUUAGCCAAGAAUUUUGCUCGGAAUAAAUUUUAGAACAAUUCAAAGAUCUCCCAAGAUUUCCUCUCUCAUUUCUCAUAUCUCAAUCUCGGCAGACGUUGGUCUUCCCUCCAGCCACCUGCUCCACUAGCUUUACAAUUUUUUGGAUUAGACCGAGUUAUAUAUGGAUCCGACCCGAAUGACCUGUUGGAUCUGCUGAGGAUCCGACCUAAU